UGCGGAAAGUGUGUUUUGAUUGGCUAAAAGGAUAUUGUAUCCAUGGACUCGCUUGCACUGAAUCUCUUUGGACCACGUGGACUUAUCUUGCUCCGCUUAUGAAAGUAAUGAAAGUUUUUUCGGCCACGUCAUAUAAACUUGAAGUCAUUAAAUAAAAUAAAAAGAAAUAAAAGUGUAUAAAUGUAUUUUGACAUAGUUCCUCCUUAUAUAAUGUACCACACCCUAACCUACACCAGCACACGCAGCCGCCGCCCCUCCCCGCUCCUUCAUCUUUUUCAUCUUCUUCGUGUUUCUUCUCUGCCGCCUCUCUUUCUUUUCCCUCUGCUGUAAUGGAAGCAAGGACCAUAGAGAAGGGUGAGACGUGAGAGAAAAGUUAGAUAGAUACCUGGCUAGAACUUAUCUUUUCAUUUGGAUUCUAUUUGGUUGAUUCUACCCUUAUGUGGACUUUUUACGUAGGGUUUCCUUUGUCGACUGUAAUGUGCACCUCGGUAAAAGUUCGAUUCAAAUGGUUUUGCAUUUCUGUCCGAGUUGUGUGGUGAUUUGGGUUUUUUUUUUUUUUUUCAUAUCUUGGUUAAUUUGUGUGCCGUGAGGAUGCAUAUUUAUAUGGACUAGAGUUUCUGAUCUUGCAGUUGAAGACUAACCCUUGGCUGUCUGAGCACGCAUUAGAAUCUUUCUUAAAGAUAAAAUCGUUUUGUGUGUGUUUUUUUAAAUUUGCUUCUGGCUAAUGAUGAUAAGCAAUUAUCUUAGCGGAUUUCAGUGAGAUUAUUUCAAUUAAUCCAGGAUCUUAUUGUUACACACACUGAAGCCUUGCCUUUACAAUAUUUAGGGCUUCUCAUCUUUUAACUUUGAUUUGAGUUAUUUGCAGAAGUUUCUGUGAGUGCAGUGUAUUGUUUCAUUGAGCAAAUCUCGGAUUCUGUCUGUUAAUUUUGGCAUUGAUAAUCUUCUGUUUUUGAGGGGGUGUCUAUUGUUUUUUCCAAUUACAUCUCGUCUUCAAACAUGUUUGGAUUAUCUCUCUCCAUUUAGCCCUAAAUAUAUGUUUUUAUGAGAUGUAAGAGGUUCUUGAUUUGAUUUUGUGAGUUGUAACCUUGUGCCCUUGGCCAAUUCUGGGGGAUUGUCAUUUGUCAAUUCCUCUUAGCAUAAUGGCUUGGGUGCAAUAUUGCAAUGUGGCUAUCCUGAUCAAUUUUUCUUUCUAUCUGCACACCAUUAGGUCCCGAAAACAACACAGAAACAUUCUUCGUUCAGAUAAGAAUUUUUCAAGUUAUUUUGGUUUGUAGAUUUUUGAAUUUGAAAAUUUUUAAUCUUACAAAAUAUCGCGCUUUCAAAGGUGUUUAUGGAUAACAGAGUUUAAAGAUGUUUUUUACGGUAAUAUUAUACUUUCUCUGUUACUAAAAAGCUUUUUAUUUGAAUAGUAAAAUGUGACUUACUUUUGGGCGGAGGUGCCCUAAUAAAUAUUAGGGAAAAAAUCUAAACAAGUCCCGUUGAAACUAAUAUUAAUCAAUUUUGGUUCUAAUAUAAACUAUGGGUGUGUUUGUCUAGGGAUUGGCAAAAAAUCUACUAUUUAUUCAAAAAAAAUUUCAAAAAUAUCAAAUUAAAUAUUUAUUUUUUAUUUUUUAUAUUAUUUUUUAAGAAAUAAUUUUACUUUCAAAAUAUUAUAUUUAUAUUUAUUUAUAUCAUAUUAUAUAACUAUUUUAAUUUAAAAUUUUUACUAUUUAAAUUAUUACAUCAAUAUUUAUUUAUAUCGUUUUAUACUAUUAUUUCAAUUUAAAAUUUUUAUUAUUUAAAGUUAUAACUUAAAAUUCAAAUUUCCAAACAAACAUAUUCUAUUUCAAUCAAUUUUAAUUUUAUCUUUACAAAAUUAACAAUCAUUGUUGAUGUAACAAACCCUGAUGUGGCAUAAGAUGUGGACUCAACAUGGCUAAUCAUCACUUCCUCGGUUGGUUUUUCGGCAUUGUCACUGCCAAUAUCCCUUUUUGGUUCGUCUUUCUCGGUCUCACUGGCUAUGGUAUCCGGUAUCUCUUUCUCACCAGCAAUAUCUUCUCUCUUCUACAAAAUUUUAAUCCCUAUUGCCGUCGUUGGAAACGACAUAUGUGGAAUCAACACCGCCAUCCAAAAUUUUCCCUCAACCGCUAGAUCGCUUACCAGUUAUGUUACGAUAGUGGUAGUGUCAAGAUAUACAUUGACAUUGUUGACGUCGUAGUGCAAUUGUUGCCGUUCAAUCGAGCGAAAGCGUUCUUUAAUUUUGUUUUGCUGGUUGCUGUUUGCCUCGCGGUUGUUCUGUUAGUAGCAACAUGAGUGUCUAGAGAUGGCAAGAUUCUUCACCUUCACCUGCCUCGGUUCCUCCGCCUACCGCGCAAUCCCUAAUAUUGGAAUCUUCAUCAUCAUUGUUUUGUGCUCCUCUUUUCUCUUCUAAUGGCUAUAUUUACUUUCUUAGCACUUUAUUGUAGCGGUUUCUGCUUCGAUUUUUGCUUAGAUUUCCUAUUGGAUUGUUGAAGAUUGGGGAAAAAAUUAAUAGAAAAACAUGUGUCGGAAUUGAAUGGAUGAAUCAAUCUUGAUUUGAUUUGGUCAAAUGACUUGCAAUUAAGAAAUAAUACAACUGGCUUCCGAUUUAAAGAAAACAAAAAAAAAACAUAA
Long non-coding RNA from Andrographis paniculata, 2631 nucleotides. RefSeq lists it as uncharacterized. NCBI's taxonomy places the organism in Eukaryota, Viridiplantae, Streptophyta, Magnoliopsida, Lamiales, Acanthaceae. The record is from RefSeq and is a predicted model, not a curated record. The transcript has 2 exons.